ACACAUGUCCUCUGUAAACAAAACUCAGCGUUUCAGUAAGGCGCCAUCUUAAACUCUGCGUUUCAUGGACAGCGAGACCAGCCGCAAAUUUUUUUAGGGUUUGGUGUUUCUUCCACAAUGAAUCGAAGGCGGUGUCUAUAUUCCUCUAAAAUGGCUAAUUAAUCAAUCCUUUUUCUGAAUAGAAGUCAACCCUAUGUUUUUCAACCGUGGAGGUGAGAUUGGCAGAAACGUCAAACGCGGCGGAAAGACUUUCCGUCACCUGCUGAUUCGGAAAUCAAGUGAUUGAAUCAUGAGCAGGGAGAGAUGGGUUUGGGUUUGAUCUUGGACUCGACUAAGGAUGAUGAACCAGAUCCAUAUACUCGCGGAUAUGGUGGUUGCUUAGUCCCGGACCCGAUAUUCUUCUUUUUAAAGAUCACUUUCGCUUGAAUUUUAUUUGUUUAUGUCCUCAACUUCUGCAUUUUUUAAUGUUUUGUUUCAUGUACUCUUCAGUCUCUUCGUUAUGUAGCUAAGUACUGGUGUUCUCUUUACAUCUUUUUGCUUUCAGGAAGUGAAUAGAGAAAUCAUUUGAUGAAUGGUUCCUAAAGGUAUUAUUUUUGUUGUUGUGUUAUUGCAGUUGCUUUGUCGAUGACAAAGAAGAAAAGAAGGGAGGGAGCAGAAGGAGAGUAUUGUUAAUGGUAUCAGAGAGACUGUCAAAAACUCUGUCCCUGUUUCUCUUUUGAAAACAUGAAAAAUAUCAAAUUCAAGGAGUUUAGACAACAGUUUAGACACAACGGAAGGUUUUUCCUCGGCUAGAACAAAUUGAUGCAGUUUGCUCUUGGUCCUUCUGCUUGAGAUGAAAUCCAUCAUGCCAUAUUUAAAGCUUCCAAGGUUGUCUUCUUUAUGGUUAUGAUGAACUGCUUAUUACAGAUAUGCCAACAGAAGAGGUUAAAAGGUAUCAUAACUCUCUCGGAGACCUUUUUUUCCAUUUUGCUUUGGUGAAACCAACUAUGAAAGGCUUAAACUAUAUCUAUCUCUCCUGAUCAUCUCAGACAAGGGACUUCCAGGUAAGAAGAGUCUAUACAUAAGGCUAGGUUGCCGUGGUGAUUUGCCCAAUAUACAACCGCCGGGAUGGGAUCCGUCGUCUGACACCGGAGCUCAUCCAAGCUUCUCAUAAAGUAUUCUUUAAACAAUGCUCUUCUUUUUUCUCUUCUAUUAAAAAAACCAGCAACAAGCGUUGUAAAGAAUUAUCACUUUCAUGACAUUGAUAAUUUCUAUAGAAGACGCAUAUUUGAUGAUUUAA
Long non-coding RNA from Brassica rapa (field mustard), 1279 nucleotides. RefSeq lists it as uncharacterized. The record is from RefSeq and is a predicted model, not a curated record. NCBI's taxonomy places the organism in Eukaryota, Viridiplantae, Streptophyta, Magnoliopsida, Brassicales, Brassicaceae.